Taeniopygia guttata (zebra finch) is the source of this 2345-nucleotide long non-coding RNA. Lineage: Eukaryota; Metazoa; Chordata; Aves; Passeriformes; Estrildidae. The record is from Ensembl.
UAUUUCUGUACUUUUCUCAAAAAAAAAAAUGUCUUGCAUAUUUGCUGCUUAAAGGAUCAAGGUGAUGUAGUGCUACAGAGACGACAAGGAUAAAACUGAAAUAAAGUUUUAGAUGUUUGCAAUGUAUAUACCUGCAUGGGAACCACAGAUAUAUGUAUUUUCUAAUUCUUCGUUUUAAUUAACAUAUAUCCUUUCAAUCUUAUCAGUUGGUCUAGUCAAUAAAAUACAGUAAAUCAGCAAACCUAAUGUACAGAAAUGAAUCUGAACAGCUCUUGCAAUUAUACUGCUUUGAUUAAAUCUCCUUUAAAAACAACAAGAAGUUACAGCACCUAUUAUGUACACAGCUUCAUUGUAGAUAGCUAGAUUUAGCAUUUCAAUCUGGAGCAAUGUCUUACCUGUGGCUUUGCCAUAAUACUUCAUCAUUUUGAUCUUUUAAUGUGUAUGCACAGAUUAGGAAAUGUUUCCUUACACAGUUAGUUAUUUCCUUAAAACUAUAUGUUGUAUCAAAAACCUGUCUUUUUUACUUGCAAAAUUAAUUACCUUUGAGCUCUUUCACUUGUGAGUGGAUUCCAUCUGGACAGAGCCCCUUUUCUACCACAGCUUUCAGAUCAUUCUCAAAGCACAUGAUGAGGCAUUUCAGGAAAAUUUUGCUAGACAAAAUUUUCUUGCCUUUUCUUUCAUUUUUUUUUUUCCCUGCAUUGUGACACAAAAAAAAUAGAAUGGAAUUUCAUUUAUUAAUUUCACUUUCAGAGUAUUGCAGAUAUCUCUCACCAUAGCAGUAUGGAUUUUUAGAGUAUUAGGGGGCUAAAGCUGUAGCUGUAGGACAGUGGGCCAGGCCAACAAAAUGGAAAAAGGAACAUCUGAACUUUUCACUAAUGCUAAUAGCAUUUUUGAGUGCAAGGUGACAGCAGAAACCCUUCACAAAAGUUUGAAAAUAUUGAUUACAUUGUAAUUUGUCUUUGGUCCCACAUUCAGGCACUAAGUGCUAGCAGUAUUCCUGAUUAUAAUGGAAAAUUUUGUUCCCUGCUGUGGGGAGAUAAAUAGCACUGAAAGCAAAAAACACCUGGCAGACACCUUGAAUAUGGAACUUUUUUAUUAAGCACUGCAUUUUUUUUCUUUGUUAAUUAAUCUAUUUCACAGUCUCAGGUAAUCACUUUGCAACUUCUCAGUAGUCUGACUUUCAAAGGAACUUCAUGCUCUGUCAGUUUCAACACCCAUGGUGUCAAAGAGCAUGGGAAUGACAAAAAACCCUUGGUAAAUUGUCCAGUGCUAUCUUGUACAUCCCUUUCUUAGAAGGCAGUCACAUUAAAAGCAUUCUUUGUUCUAAAUAUUAUGCAUUAAGAAUGUAUUCUCUGUCUCUUUACUUAGUUUUCAUCUUAGUAAACCUUUGGAGUCCUACUAUGUUACAGAUAAAAGAUGGAGUCAGUAAGAGCUCCUUGUUGACAAGAAUGAUUAAGACUUAAUCAUUCUUGUGAUUUGUGCAGCACUUGUUUGCACAAAUGCCCACCUAAGCAUGGGCUGCAGCAGUCACAGCACCAACUAGAAGCAGUUGCUUAAACACAUGCUAACUCUGUUGCAUAUCACGUAAUGUUCCUUGUCCAUGCUUUGUGUAUUUUUGUCUGGUACCUGCUGUUUAUUGGAGAGGCAUUCACUGCAGACAAAAGGGUAAAAUUAAUUAGAGGGAAAAUCCACAUUCAACACCAAUCCAUUUUAUAAAUAAAUGAUGUAUAGGAUGAGUGCUACCUGACUGGGGUGUCAUAAAUGUAUACUGAAACUUGGAAGGGAAAAAAGCAGGCACAAAUUGCCACAAAUCUAUAAGAAUUAAUCUGAAGGAAUAAAACAGAACUAAAAGGGAAAGUAUAACACCAUAACAACUGAUAAAUGGGUAAGUCUGACACAAAUAUGUCAAGAAUGGUAGAUAAUGUGAGAUUACCAUGGUAAAUUACUUCAUUUUUAGAAGCAAAGGAAAUUGAGUAAAUAUCAUCUCUCUAGAUUUCAGCAGAGCAUAUGAUAAAGUUCCAUAUAGUAAAUUCUUUUAGUUUAGCAGUAUAGGCAAAUGGAACCUGUAGGCUGAUUCAAUGAGGGAAGAGAUGGAGCUGGAGAGACGUCCCACAUAAUUGAAUGUCAGAACUAAUCCUGAAUAAUAUUUUCAAUAAUGAACUUAAUAUAGACUUAUAAGGAAAGGGCUGAUGCAAUGUGUUCCGGACAUAAAACUGGAAGGUACUUUCAGUGAAGACCAAGUUAUCAGAAGAAUUAAAGGAAAAAAAAAAAGGCAAGAGUCUUUCUUGUUAAAGAGUAGAUUUCAGCUUUUCUCAUUUAGAAGAAUAAACCCAGGUAGAUGAAAA